Molecule: ribosomal RNA, 468 nt
Filed under: uncultured bacterium
Lineage: Bacteria
Description: partial 16S ribosomal RNA
Rfam family: Bacterial small subunit ribosomal RNA
Source: RNAcentral
GACGAACGCUGGCGGCGUGCUUAACACAUGCAAGUCGAACGGAAAGGCCCUGCUUUUGUGGGGUGCUCGAGUGCCGAACGGGUGAGUAAAACGUGAGUAUCCUGCCCUUGACUUUGGGGUAACUUCAGGAAACUGGGGCUCAUACCGGAUAUGAGCUCCUGCUGCAUGGUGGUGGUUGGAAAGUUUCGGCGGUUGGGGCUGGACUCGCGGCUUAUCAGCUUGUUGGGGGGGUAGUGGUUGACGAAGGCUUUGACGGGUAGCCGGCAUGGGAGGGUGGCCGGGGACAUUGGGACUGAGAGACGGAGCAGACUCCUACGGUAGGCAGCGGUGGGGAGCCUGGCACAGUGGGGCCACGCCUGAGACAGCAGCGCUGGGAGCGGGAUGCCGGCUUUUGAGUUGUAAACCGCUUUGGCCGGUGACGAACCGAGAGUGACGGUACUUGGUAAAGAAGCACCGGCUAACUACGUG